AUUGAACGCUGGCGGAAUGCUUUACACAUGCAAGUCGAACGGCAGCACGGACUUCGGUCUGGUGGCGAGUGGCGAACGGGUGAGUAAUAUAUCGGAACGUGCCCAGUCGUGGGGGAUAACGUAGUGAAAAUUACGCUAAUACCGCAUACGAUCUAAGGAUGAAAGCGGGGGAUCGCAAGACCUCGCGCGAUUGGAGCGGCCGAUAUCAGAUUAGGUAGUUGGUGAGGUAAAGGCUCACCAAGCCAACGAUCUGUAGCUGGUCUGAGAGGAGGACCAGCCACACUGGAACUGAGACACGGUCCAGACUCCGACGGGAGGCAGCAGUGGGGAAUUUUGGACAAUGGACGCAAGUCUGAUCCAGCCAUUCCGCGUGCAGGAAGAAGGCCUUCGGGUUGUAAACUGCUUUUGUACAGAACGAAAAGGUCUCUAUUAAUACUAGGGGCUCAUGACGGUACUGUAAGAAUAAGCACCGGCUAACUACGUGCCAGCAGCCGCAGUAA
RNAcentral lists this ribosomal RNA (500 nucleotides) under uncultured bacterium. Its description in RNAcentral is "partial 16S ribosomal RNA". It matches the Rfam family "Bacterial small subunit ribosomal RNA", at positions 30 to 523 of the family's 1533-position model. The record is from RNAcentral.